CAGCGUUUGACAUGGUAGGACGGUUUCCAGAGAUGGAUUCCUUCCCUUACGGGACCUACACACAGGUGCUGCAUGGCUGUCGUCAGCUCGUGUCGUGAGAUGUUGGGUUAAGUCCCGCAACGAGCGCAACCUCCGUCCUUAGUUGCUACCAUUUAGUUGAGCACUCUAAGGAGACUGCCGGUGAUAAGCCGCGAGGAAGGUGGGGAUGACGUCAAGUCCUCAUGGCCCUUACGGGCUGGGCUACACACGUGCUACAAUGGCCGGUACAACGGGAAGCGAAGCCGCGAGGUGGAGCCAAUCCUAGAAAAGCCGGUCUCAGUUCGGAUUGUAGGCAGCAACUCGCCUACA
RNAcentral lists this ribosomal RNA (348 nucleotides) under uncultured maize rhizosphere bacterium c6-2_68. RNAcentral describes it as "bacterial SSU rRNA". It matches the Rfam family "Bacterial small subunit ribosomal RNA", at positions 975 to 1320 of the family's 1533-position model. The record is from RNAcentral.